Long non-coding RNA from Quercus lobata, 1127 nucleotides. RefSeq lists it as uncharacterized. Lineage: Eukaryota; Viridiplantae; Streptophyta; Magnoliopsida; Fagales; Fagaceae. The transcript has 4 exons. The record is from RefSeq and is a predicted model, not a curated record.
CCAUUGUUUGGUUGAUGGGAAAGCUGUGGAAAUUUUCCUUUUUGGUAUUUGUAUUUUGUGUUGAGUUCGUCCUUGAAUUAGGCCUGAAACAGUUGAAUUAGGUUCCUGAGUUCUGACUUGUUUUGCUUAUAACAAGCUUACAAAAUAUCAUUAUUUUCUGUUUUCAUUGAAACGAUUUGAUUUAAGUACGAAAUUUUGUCUAGAUUUCCUAAUGUGUGUGUGUCUGUAUGUCAAGUUAGCUCUGUUGAUUAUUUUCUUUGGAUUUGGAAUAUUAGCAAUAGAUGGCUACACUACCAUAUAUUGAAUAUCAUUUGUUGUGUUCUUGCUGGUCAAAAUCAGAUUAUUGAUGUACUCAGCAGUCAGUGUGAAACUUUUGCUUUAUUGGUUUUUCCCUGUUUUCUAUGUGCUUCUUUUUCAGUCUAUGAGCAUCCAACUAUCAUCCUUGACAAUUUGGAAUUAGAAACUUCUCAUUGUCUUAUUUGUCAUUUGGGUGCCAUGUUGUUCCAUCUAGGUGCACUGAUUGGCUGUCCUACAUAUUGCGUGGGAUUAUUUCUAGACUGUUUGAAUCAAUACAAUUGCAUCGAAGCUUCAAUUGCUAGCGGUUGCCCAAGUGCAGGAGUAUGGCCUUUGUCACUUCAUGGGUAAUGUGGAAUUCAAAUCAGCUUUGGUGUUCCGUUGAUUCCAUGCUUAAAGACGGGAAAAUGAGUUGUAGAAUAACCUCUUCUCUGCUUGCACUGCUGCCUUUAUUACUUUUGAGCUCUUCAUAUCUAAGCUCAUGGAAAAAAUGGUAUUAACUUUCAAGGGUGGGACUCGAGUUUUUGUUGCUAGAAUACCUACUAGUGUCACAGAUGAUGAUUUUGGCAGGAUCCAUUGACAAAACAUGGAGUUGGAUUUGUAAUGCAUGAAAAUGCAGGAAGUGGAGCUUGAGUCUUAAAGUUUUGUAUUCUGGUUUUUUGUUCAAGUGAAUUUGUAGAAUACAUAGUGUUAAUCAAGAGAUUCUAAACUAUAAACAUAGUGUUUGAGGUGUCAUUUGGAAGAUCGAUAAUUGUGGAACUUCAUCAUUUUUUGUACUGGUCUUCCAUUUUACCUCAUAGUAUUGUUUGGUCUGUUUUCAGAUUCAGUAUACC